CUAUGACCAAAAUAUGAGAAUAAAGUUUUUUAUGCACAAUAAAGGAAAAAGCAAGCCUUCUUCUUGGGUUUUAUUAGGGUUUGAAUUACCCUAAACAAAAAAUAAUAAGAUGCAAAAUAUCUCUUCUUUCUCUAUUUGCCUUUCACUCUACAGAGGGCAGCUGCUAUCCUAGAGGUACAUCAUGUGACUGUGCUUAUGAUGACUUUGUUCUCUUUCAUGGCCGCUCUAGGUAAAAAUCUUCAUGAUUUUGUGAACUAUUGUAUAUUUGAUGCUCAAAUUUGUAUUCACUUUAGAAUUUUCUCCAUGCAAUAUGUGCUUAUUGCAGACUGUAUGCUUGAGAUUCUCUUCUUAAUGAGAGUGAAAGAGUAGGGUUUUCUUUGUGUUCUUAGGCUACAAAUAUGGGUUAAAAUCUUGUUGAACUUACUAAGAUUUUCUUACAUAGACUACAACUUUGCAUCUCA
Molecule: long non-coding RNA, 461 nt
Organism: Cryptomeria japonica (Japanese cedar)
Lineage: Eukaryota; Viridiplantae; Streptophyta; Pinopsida; Cupressales; Cupressaceae
Exons: 2
Source: RefSeq, a predicted model, not a curated record